Lycium barbarum (goji berry) is the source of this 1244-nucleotide long non-coding RNA. RefSeq lists it as uncharacterized. The record is from RefSeq and is a predicted model, not a curated record. The transcript is spliced from 3 exons. NCBI's taxonomy places the organism in Eukaryota, Viridiplantae, Streptophyta, Magnoliopsida, Solanales, Solanaceae.
GAUGCCAAAAAGGGAGAAAGGGGAAAAUGGGAUUAUACCACCUCAUCACAAAAUGACAAAGGUUAUAACAAAUUUUAUCACAAAAAAAUGGGAGGGGACACGUGGUAGAGGGGGAGUAUUAUUGUUGGGGGUGGGACUCGCAAAAAAAAUGAAAAAGAAUAAAAAUAAGCAAUACACAGAUGGGAUAAACAGAAUAUCGAUAGAGAAAGUGGGGACACGGAAAAGCAGAAUAGAAAACGAAAAGGAAUAGAUAGAGAAUACAUAGAAUAGAGAUAGAGAGAGAAACGAAAAAAAAAAGAAAAAAAAAAAGGAAAAAAGAUCAUCUUCUUCAUUGUUGUUACUCACCUGCAAACAAACCCACCACUACACCACCAUCUUCUUCACCACCUCGCACCCAUCGGAAACCUCCUCAACCACCAUGACCCUUGUUCCCGUCUGAAAACCCAAAAUGAUUAAAAAAAACCAUAACUCAACUUAAACCACCCAUUUAACCACCGAAAAACCCCGCUGAAAAACCCCCAUAAACACCCCAAACCCACACUGUGAAACCAGAUAUAAAACAUCCCUGUUCCACCACCAAAAUCAUAGACCGACCACUAUUUUUCCCGUCUCUGCUUUCGGUUUGGAAUUCCGGGAAAGCUUAAUAUCGUGGUUGAAGAUUGCUCGAGUCGAUGUCUUCGAUCGGCGGUCCUGUUCGUGGUUCAAAAAAUUCAAAAUUGCUUUCCUUGAAUCAACUUGUGGUCGAGUAAUUGAGGUUCUAAUCGCACAGUGAAGAUUCUGGACGAAAUUGGAAGUGAAGCUAAGCGAGCAUAAGGCGCAAUUGAGGUACAGACGCACCUGAAGAUACGCCGCCAGUCUAGGGCUCAGAUUCUGCUAUUUUGAAGAGCUCCUUUGGUCCGGAGCGUGUACUUUUGGUAUAUAUCUUCUGUCUUCUGUAUAUUCUGUAUGUAUGGCAACUCCGGGUACGGCGGGGCCCUGUCCCGUCAUAUGACUCUGUCGGUCUGUUUAGAGGUUUGUGCACAUGUUUGUGGGUUAAGGUCUUUCUGUACGGAUGUGUGUAUAUGUUGUGUUUGGGGCGAUCCCAUUCGCCGCGGCGGCCGGUCCGCAUAUGUUUAUAUGUUGCUUUGUUGGCCGGUGUGGCCUUUGUUGGUAUUUUCUGUGAGCAGGGUUAUUUUGGAUAGUCUGUAAAACAAAGGAAACUCUGCCAAAAAUUUUCUGGAAAUUAUUUAAAUUUGAAAUAUAGC